This is an RNA transcript of Ornithodoros turicata, 2173 nucleotides long. RefSeq lists it as uncharacterized. The transcript has 9 exons. NCBI's taxonomy places the organism in Eukaryota, Metazoa, Arthropoda, Arachnida, Ixodida, Argasidae. The record is from RefSeq and is a predicted model, not a curated record.
GCGAGCUUAUACAACCUAAGGGCCAUUUCCUUUGUGGGAGAAGAAGAAGAAGAAGAACCUGCCAUGCGCGCAUAUGCAGCAAUUGCGUUCAGUAAUGAAUGACCCUCAUCGGAUGUGUUCUCUCACUGGAGGCUGUACAUUCUGGAAGUACUCCCAGUAUUUCGUAGGCUACGUCUGCAGGGGUCUCAUCAAUAUGGAUAGCAAUGCAGGACGCAGACCACUCGAAGCUGUACAGGUGGAGCUGUAUACCAGAUCAUACCGAAAAUAAAGUAGCUUGUCUGCGCGGUCUGGACAUUGUUCACUGCCCCGUCAGCGUGCGUUUGCGAAUGUCAGACACUCGCGUCACCUCGCGGGAUUCUCGCACCACUGGGUUUUGAGAUCACGUUAUCAGUGCUGUUUUCAUGCAGUGUCCGGAGACUUUAUGCUCCGGAAUUGAAGUGCUAACGGAAUUCAAGUGAAGCGACUGUGUCGUGUCUACUAAUUUUGCUAUUCUCAGGACAAGGUACAGGAAAUGACCCCGCAGAAGAGGAAACACCAGCCAUUCAGAAAUAUAUCUCUGAUAAUAGUGCGACGGCGACGAGUACGAUCAUGGUGCCAAGUAAUGCAACCAACACCGCGACCACUACGACUGCUGCGACCACUACGACUACUAGCACCUUGAAACCGCCCUUGCCUGGAAAGUUUCUUGCAUGCGUCAGUUCACUCGAUCAGGCAAUAUUUCAGGAGAUAGAUGGGUUGUGCUACUUCAUGUUCUACACCGUCCAGGACAUCAACCAACUGAAGAACAAGAAUCUCGGUCUUUCGAAAAGCAAAAUCGGUGUCGACAUACCGAGCUCGAGGGUUCAGGCUAAUCAGGCAAAACUUGCAAAUUCCAUCGCAACGUAUUGGCCAACGAUCCGAGAGUUCGCUGUCCUGGAUCUGGAACUCCGCCCAGGUGUUUCAACUUAUGUCGAUGACGUCAUAACAUUUCUAAAAGAAGCGGACACAAGCUUAAACACCCAUAUAAGAGCAGAGCCACCGCCACGUAUGAUGUUUGGCUACGUGCUACUAGGUGUGGCCGUAAUCCUUCAAGGCCAACCACCAAGUACCCUCAUGACGAACUUCAAUAAACUCGUACAAGAGGUUCAGCCCGACGCUCUGCUAUACCGGACUUCUCUAAAUCGUAAUGUCACGGACCCGGGGAUAUGCAGGCGUACAGGACCGGCACCCUGGAAGGGACAAGGCAUGCCGUCUGUGCAGUCUUCCUUCCUGGACUCGCUGAGAUUCAGGCGGGCGCCUGGGUUCCAGCCACUGCCUUUGAAGACAGCGGAAUUGCUCUCCGUUAGCGCUGCUGCCACUAAAACCGCAUACAAAAGUCCGGAUCGCACUCGACCUGGUGAUGCACCGUGCGAGAAUGUCACGCAGAUAAAUCCAAAGGACGUGAUGGUAGAUCUAACCCAAGCCCUGCUCAAGCCAUAGUUGAAGAGAUGUUUGAAGAAAGUAACACGGCCAGCACAAGAUGAUCCAGAAGAAAUGUCCAGUACACAACAGGUGGAACCAGUAGCAAGCAACACAGAAAUGCUAUAGCAAGAUGUCCACAGCGUGACAGGAAGUGGGUCUUCGACUUCCAUGGAUACAGAGAGUCCACAAAGGGCUGUGAGACGGUCACGUCACGGAGACCGAUUUUUCAACUCUCAAGCCGUGCACUACCUGGAGCGGAAACACAGUAGGGAGGCGGAUCAAAAAGACAAACAGCUGGAGUUGGAAGAAAGAAGACUGCGUGUUGAAGAGGAAAAACAAUCAUUCGAGAUGAUAACAUUUCAAGUCACAAUGGAUUGGAAGCGCGAGAAAAUGACACUAAUGAAAGAAGAACGGAACAGACAAAUUGAUUUUCAACACACACACCUGGAUCUGAUGAGGGUGAUAAUCCAAGAAAUGUUGCACAAAGAGUGAUGACCAACCUUGAUUAACCUGAACAGGACUUUCAUUUUCAUUUAUCCGUUGUGCAGCAUUUAGUCAGACAAGUAAUGUACAGUUUACAACAACCUUUAUUGGACACAAAAGUGUGUGUGGAAUACACAGUAGCAGCAAAGUGAAACCCCUCUGUGAAUCACAUGCACCCUUGUGUUCGGAACAAAAUUGGUAAUAGCAUAACGAAACCAAAUACGUGUCAAGUGAUUGUGGGCUUACUACG